This 253-nucleotide ribosomal RNA is filed under the name uncultured bacterium. Its description in RNAcentral is "partial 16S ribosomal RNA". It matches the Rfam family "Bacterial small subunit ribosomal RNA", at positions 524 to 776 of the family's 1533-position model. The record is from RNAcentral.
UACGGGGGGGGCAAGCGUUGUUCGGAAUUACUGGGCGUAAAGGGCGCGUAGGCGGCUUGGCAAGUGGAAGGUGAAAUCCCUCGGCUUAACCGAGGAACUGCCCUCCAAACUGCUUCGCUUGAGACCGGGAGAGGUGAGUGGAAUUCCCAGUGUAGCGGUGAAAUGCGUAGAUAUUGGGAGGAACACCAGUGGCGAAGGCGGCUCACUGGACCGGUACUGGCGCUGAUGCGCGAAAGCGUGGGGAGCAAACGGG